GGCAUGUGCCUUGCGAUGACACCGCCAAGGCAAUCAAUGCCGAUUGCCCUACCCCACGACAAAGGCGCCGU
This is a regulatory RNA element of 71 nucleotides. It matches the Rfam family "narK RNA". The record is from Rfam.